Molecule: unclassified non-coding RNA, 18 nt
Filed under: Mus musculus (house mouse)
Lineage: Eukaryota; Metazoa; Chordata; Mammalia; Rodentia; Muridae
Description: oocyte_clustered_small_RNA13485
Source: RNAcentral
GUCUUGCCAGUGUACUGA